This 484-nucleotide ribosomal RNA is filed under the name uncultured bacterium. Its description in RNAcentral is "partial 16S ribosomal RNA". It matches the Rfam family "Bacterial small subunit ribosomal RNA", at positions 30 to 507 of the family's 1533-position model. The record is from RNAcentral.
AUUGAACGCUGGCGGCAGGCCUAACACAUGCAAGUCGAGCGGCAGAAGGGGGCUUGCUCCUGGAUUCAGCGGCGGACGGGUGAGUAACGCCUAGGAAUCUGCCUGUCUGUUGGGGAUAAGGGCCUGAAACGGGCGAUAAUACCGCAUACGUCCUGAGGGAGAAAGUGGGGGAUCUUCGGACCUCACGCCAUCAGGUGAGCGUAGGUCGGAUUAGCUAGUUGGUGGGGUAAAGGCCCACCAAGGCGACGAUCCGUAACUGGUCUGAGAGGAUGAUCAGCCACACUGGAACUGAGACACGGUCCAGACUCCUACGGGAGGCAGCAGUGGGGAAUAUUGGACAAUGGGCGCAAGCCUGAUCCAGCCAUACCGCGUGUGUGAAGAAGGUCUUCGGGUUGUAAAGCACUUUUGGUUGGAAAGAAAAGCAGCAGGUUAAUACCCCGCUGUUCUGACGGUACCAAAAGAAUAAGCACCGGCUAACUUCGUG